CCCUUAGGACGGGGAUAAACCCGGGAAACUGGGUAUAAUACCCGAUAGGUCUCGAUUGCUGGAAUGCAUCGAGAUUUAAAGCUCCGGCGCCUAAGGAUGGGUCUGCGGCCUAUCAGGUAGUAGUGGGUGUAGCGUACCUACUAGCCUACGACGGGUACGGGUUGUGAGAGCAAGAGCCCGGAGAUGGAUUCUGAGACACGAAUCCAGGCCCUACGGGGUGCAGCAGGCGCGAAAACUUUACAAUGCUGGCAACAGCGAUAAGGGAACCUCGAGUGCCAGGUUACAAAUCUGGCUGUCGAGAUGCCUAAAAAGCAUUUCAUAGCAAGGGCCGGGCAAGACCGGUGCCAGCCGCCGCGGUAACACCGGCGGCUCGAGUGGUAACCGUUAUUAUUGGGUCUAAAGGGUCUGUAGCCGGCCGGAUAAGUCUCUUGAGAAAUCUGGCAGCUUAACUGUCAGGCUUUCAGGAGAUACUGUCUGGCUCGAGGCCGGGAGAGGUGAGAGGUACUUCAGGGGUAGGGGUGAAAUCUUGUAAUCCUUGAAGGACCACCAGUGGCGAAGGCGUCUCACCAGAACGGACCUGACGGCAAGGGACGAAAGCUAGGGGCACGAACCGGAUUAGAUACCCGGGUAGUCCUAGCCGUAAACGAUACUCGCUAGGUGUCGGCCACGGUGCGACCGUUGUCGGUGCCGUAGGGAAGCCGUGAAGCGAGCCACCUGGGAAGUACGGCCGCAAGGCUGAAACUUAAA
Molecule: ribosomal RNA, 747 nt
Filed under: Methanothrix soehngenii
Lineage: Archaea; Methanobacteriati; Methanobacteriota; Methanomicrobia; Methanotrichales; Methanotrichaceae
Description: bacterial SSU rRNA
Rfam family: Archaeal small subunit ribosomal RNA
Source: RNAcentral